This 464-nucleotide ribosomal RNA is filed under the name uncultured bacterium. RNAcentral's name for it is "partial 16S ribosomal RNA". It matches the Rfam family "Bacterial small subunit ribosomal RNA", at positions 28 to 507 of the family's 1533-position model. The record is from RNAcentral.
GACGAACGCUGGCGGCGUGCUUAACACAUGCAAGUCGAACGGAAAGGCCCCCUUGUGGGGUACUCGAGUGGCGAACGGGUGAGUAACACGUGAGUAACCUACCCUUGACUUUGGGAUACUUCAGGAAACUGGGGCUAAUACCGGAUAGGAGCUCCUGCUGCAUGGUGGGGGUUGGAAAGUUUCGGCGGUUGGGGAUGGGCUCGCGGCUUAUCAGCUUGUUGGUGGGGUAGUGGCUCACCAAGGCUUUGACGGGUAGCCGGCCUGAGAGGGUGACCGGCCACAUUGGGACUGAGAUACGGCCCAGACUCCUACGGGAGGCAGCAGUGGGGAAUAUUGCACAAUGGGCGGAAGCCUGAUGCAGCAACGCCGCGUGCGGGAUGACGGCCUUCGGGUUGUAAACCGCUUUCGCCUGUGACGAAGCGUGAGUGACGGUAAUGGGUAAAGAAGCACCGGCUAACUACGUG